CAGCAGCCGUGGUAAUACAGAGGGUGCGAGCGUUAAUCGGAUUUACUGGGCGUAAAGCGUGCGUAGGCGGCUUCUUAAGUCGGAUGUGAAAUCCCUGAGCUUAACUUAGGAAUUGCAUUCGAUACUGGGAAGCUAGAGUAUGGGAGAGGAUGGUAGAAUUCCAGGUGUAGCGGUGAAAUGCGUAGAGAUCUGGAGGAAUACCGAUGGCGAAGGCAGCCAUCUGGCCUAAUACUGACGCUGAGGUACGAAAGCAUGGGGAGCAAACAGGAUUAGAUACCCCGGUAGUCCCUGUCUCUUAUAC
This 301-nucleotide ribosomal RNA is filed under the name uncultured bacterium. RNAcentral's name for it is "partial 16S ribosomal RNA". It matches the Rfam family "Bacterial small subunit ribosomal RNA", at positions 509 to 807 of the family's 1533-position model. The record is from RNAcentral.